AAUUGUUCGCAAUGGGCGCAAGCCUGACGACGCAACGCCGCGUGGAGGAUGAAGAUCUUCGGGUCGUAAACUCCUUUCGAUCGAGACGAAUUCCUCCGGGGUGAACAAUCCCGGAGGUUGACGGUACCGAGAGAAGAAGCCCCGGCUAACUCCGUGCCAGCAGCCGCGGUAAUACGAAGGGGGCAAGCGUUGUUCGGAAUUACUGGGCGUAAAGGGCGCGUAGGCGGCUUAUCAAGUCAGGCGUGAAAUUCCCGGGCUCAACCUGGGGGCUGCGCUUGAUACUGAUGAGCUUGAAUGCGGGAGAGGAUAGUGGAAUUCCCAGUGUAGAGGUGAAAUUCGUAGAUAUUGGGAAGAACACCGGUGGCGAAGGCGGCUAUCUGGCCCGUAAUUGACGCUGAGGCGCGAAAGCGUGGGGAGCAAAC
RNAcentral lists this ribosomal RNA (422 nucleotides) under uncultured bacterium. RNAcentral describes it as "bacterial SSU rRNA". It matches the Rfam family "Bacterial small subunit ribosomal RNA", at positions 360 to 773 of the family's 1533-position model. The record is from RNAcentral.